GGGGAAUAUUGCACAAUGGGCGCAAGCCUGAUGCAGCGACGCCGCGUGAGGGAUGACGGCCUUCGGGUUGUAAACCUCUUUCAGUAGGGAAGAAGCGAAAGUGACGGUACCUGCAGAAGAAGCGCCGGCUAACUACGUGCCAGCAGCCGCGGUAAUACGUAGGGCGCAAGCGUUAUCCGGAAUUAUUGGGCGUAAAGAGCUCGUAGGCGGUUUGUCGCGUCUGCCGUGAAAGUCCGGGGCUCAACUCCGGAUCUGCGGUGGGUACGGGCAGGCUAGAGUGAUGUAGGGGAGACUGGAAUUCCUGGUGUAGCGGUGAAAUGCGCAGAUAUCAGGAGGAACACCGAUGGCGAAGGCAGGUCUCUGGGCAUUAACUGACGCUGAGGAGCGAAAGCAUGGGGAGCGAACAGGAUUAGAUACCCUGGUAGUCCAUGCCGUAAACGUUGGGCACUAGGUGUGGGGGACAUUCCACGUUUUCCGCGCCGUAGCUAACGCAUUAAGUGCCCCGCCUGGGGAGUACGGCCGCAAGGCUAAAACUCAAAGGAAUUGACGG
Molecule: ribosomal RNA, 550 nt
Filed under: Pseudarthrobacter polychromogenes
Lineage: Bacteria; Bacillati; Actinomycetota; Actinomycetes; Micrococcales; Micrococcaceae
Description: bacterial SSU rRNA
Rfam family: Bacterial small subunit ribosomal RNA
Source: RNAcentral